GUUGGUAGGUCAGUGGUAGAGUGCAUGCUUUGUAUGUUUGAUGUCCUAUGUUCAAUCCCCAGCGUCUACC
Dallia pectoralis (Alaska blackfish) is the source of this 70-nucleotide non-coding RNA. NCBI's taxonomy places the organism in Eukaryota, Metazoa, Chordata, Actinopteri, Esociformes, Umbridae. The record is from the annotation of a GenBank genome assembly.